RNAcentral lists this long non-coding RNA (814 nucleotides) under Marmota monax (woodchuck). The record is from RNAcentral. Lineage: Eukaryota; Metazoa; Chordata; Mammalia; Rodentia; Sciuridae.
GUAGCAUGAUUCAGUUUGACAACUGAGAAUGCACUGUAGGCAUUGGAGUGAGGAGCAAAACGGGACAGAUCGGGACUCCUGAAAUGUUCAGUUUGGGUGCAUGGCAGGAGAUGAUACAUCUGUGGAGACCAGAACACAUGAGCCUGGGAUAUCAGGCCUAUUCUCAAGUGUUAUGGGGAACCACUGAAGAGUUCUAAGCAGACGAGUGAGUGACAGGGAGGCUUUAGAAAAAUUUUUCUGACAGCCAAGUGAAAUGAUUGGAGGGCUCUCCAAUGCUGUGGCUCUAAAGUAACUAUGCUUAUCUCCAGCUACUGGGGAUUUCUAAGUUGGGUCCCUAUGCCUGGAAUGUCCUCCUGUUCAUCUGGGCACAAAUACAAUAAACACCUGUCUCCACUGCAUUUAUCCGCCCCAGGUAUUGUGACAGCAUACACCCUCUUCUUUCCUCAUUUUGGCUAAUGCCAUUCAACUUGCUUCAGGGAACUUUUCCCAGCCAGGUACAAUGUAGGUGAGUGUACGUACAUGGACUGGUCCUUGAGCGUUGCUGAAGUCUGUCUGGGGACUCUGUGAUCAUUUGCUUUGGCAUGCUAUGAGUUCAGCAUGGUCUGUCAUUCAGGCAACCACCCAUUCAAACCUGUGCAUUUGUGCCCUCCCCACCCUGCCCAAGCCCCUCACCAUGGGAGAUGAUUUCCAAGUCCAGAUGAACUUCACAGUGUACCUUCUUAUCAGAGGUGGUAGUACAUAGGAAAGCUACAAUCCUGCUAGGGGGUGCUGUCGACUCAUUAGCAGACACAAAUAACCAAAAGCAGAAAUUUUA